CGGGGUAGAGCAGUGGCAGCUCGUCGGGCUCAUAACCCGGAGGUCCCAGGUUCGAAUCCUGGCCCCGCUACUACCA
Molecule: transfer RNA, 76 nt
Filed under: Anaerolinea sp. 4484_236
Lineage: Bacteria; Bacillati; Chloroflexota; Anaerolineae; Anaerolineales; Anaerolineaceae
Description: tRNA-Met
Rfam family: tRNA
About the family: Transfer RNA (tRNA) molecules are approximately 80 nucleotides in length. Their secondary structure includes four short double-helical elements and three loops (D, anti-codon, and T loops).
Source: RNAcentral